AUUUGUGACUCAAAGAAUACCCUGAAUGUGCCCAAUCUUGUUGGAUUUCGGAAGCCAAGCAGAUUUCUGCCCGGUUAGGACUUGGAUGGGACACUGGAUGGGAAUACCAGGUGUUAAUU
RNAcentral lists this ribosomal RNA (119 nucleotides) under Petromyzon marinus (sea lamprey). Lineage: Eukaryota; Metazoa; Chordata; Hyperoartia; Petromyzontiformes; Petromyzontidae. The record is from RNAcentral.